GACGAACGCUGGCGGCGUGCCUAAUACAUGCAAGUCGAACGCACUCUCGUUUAGAUUGAAGGAGCUUGCUCCUGAUUGAUAAACAUUUGAGUGAGUGGCGGACGGGUGAGUAACACGUGGGUAACCUGCCCUAAAGUGGGGGAUAACAUUUGGAAACAGAUGCUAAUACCGCAUAAAACCUAAACACCGCAUGGUGUAGGGUUGAAAGAUGGUUUCGGCUAAUCACUUUAGGAUGGACCCGCGGUGCAUUAGUUAGUUGGUGAGGUAAAGGGCUCACCAAGACCGUGAUGCAUAGCCGACCUGAGAGGGUAAUCGGCCACACUGGGACUGAGACACGG
This 338-nucleotide ribosomal RNA is filed under the name uncultured bacterium. RNAcentral describes it as "bacterial SSU rRNA". It matches the Rfam family "Bacterial small subunit ribosomal RNA", at positions 28 to 329 of the family's 1533-position model. The record is from RNAcentral.